GGCUUAUUUGACUCAACACGGGGAAACUCACCAGGUCCAGACACAAUAAGGAUUGACAGAUUGAGAGCUCUUUCUUGAUUUUGUGGGUGGUGGUGCAUGGCCGUUCUUAGUUGGUGGAGUGAUUUGUCUGCUUAAUUGCGAUAACGAACGAGACCUUAACCUGCUAAAUAGCCCGGCCCGCUUUGGCGGGUCGCCGGCUUCUUAGAGGGACUAUCGGCUCAAGCCGAUGGAAGUUUGAGGCAAUAACAGGNCUGUGAUGCA
Molecule: ribosomal RNA, 261 nt
Filed under: Teratosphaeriaceae sp.
Lineage: Eukaryota; Fungi; Ascomycota; Dothideomycetes; Mycosphaerellales; Teratosphaeriaceae
Description: partial small subunit ribosomal RNA
Rfam family: Eukaryotic small subunit ribosomal RNA
Source: RNAcentral